This 489-nucleotide ribosomal RNA is filed under the name Triticum aestivum (bread wheat). RNAcentral's name for it is "partial small subunit ribosomal RNA". The record is from RNAcentral. Lineage: Eukaryota; Viridiplantae; Streptophyta; Magnoliopsida; Poales; Poaceae.
AUGACGCAUGACAACGGGGGUAAUGUGGAUAUCAUGAUAAGUGGUGUGGGGACAAACCAACAGUGUGAAUAUGCACACACGGCAAGCUUUGGUUCUGCCAAAACAGAUGAAGGUGCUACAUUUAGAAGCAACCCAAUGGUUCGAGAGACAAGCAAAGAACCGACUACUAACAGCAUAGGGGGGAGAGAAAGCUUCUUUGAUCAUUCAGUCAGCGAGCCAGCGAGUCCAGAAACAGGGGGAGAGAAUGCUGAACAGGGAGACAAAAAUACCGAGGCAUACUCCACACUGAAACCUCCUGAUGAAACGAUGAAGUUUGAUACUUUUGAGGAAGCUUAUGAACACUACAGGCAAUAUGCAAUGAGACAUGGGUUUGGAAUGAGACCGGAAUACAGAAAAACAAUCAAAGACAAUACUGUAAGCAGAGUCCUCUUGGUUUGUGGGAAAUACGGCAAGACAAAAACAAACAAGGAGGAGACAGAGGAUGUGUAG